Molecule: long non-coding RNA, 821 nt
Organism: Tripterygium wilfordii
Lineage: Eukaryota; Viridiplantae; Streptophyta; Magnoliopsida; Celastrales; Celastraceae
Exons: 3
Source: RefSeq, a predicted model, not a curated record
GAAGUGUUAUUCUCAUUUUUUCAGAAGUAUCUUUAAUACAUAGCCGUUUGGCUAAUAUAUGCAAAUACAAAUCAACUAGCCGUUGGGCCGUUGAUGUAGACAGCAAAAAGAAUAAAUAAAAUACUUUGAAAAGUAAAACCUCGCCCAAGCCCAUGACUUGUCUCCAAGUAGAAGACCCGAACUAGGGCACCUUGAGAAGGAUCGAGAAGAUCAAACCAGGGAGAAACCAGGCUUCAAUCUUCAACUCUGUCACAAGGUAGGAGACUAAUGGGUUGCAAUAAACUUGCUGUUGCCUUGUUAGCUCUUAGUUUAGAAGCUGUAGAGAUGGAAAUUGACACAUUGUUAUUGACACAUCAAUGUGACUUGUCUACGGACUUCUCAAUUCUCAUGCAUUUUACAAGAAAACAAGGUCUUGUUAUUAUCACCCUGUUUCUUCUUCUAUCUGCUUGUUCUUUCUUAUUGUUUUUAUUCUUAUUCUUAUUCUUUUUUUUAUAAUCUCUUCUUACAAAAAUACAAAAGCUUAAGUGAUCUUUUCAUUUCAUAAACUUUGGUCAACAAUGCCGGCUAUUGGGUAGUCAGACCAAAAUAUGCUCUUAUCGAAAAGUAGUUAUGGGAAAUGGAUAAAGAAGAAUUCUCAUUUGUGUUGGACAUAAGAAGACCUACCAAUGCAACAGUGAACAAGAAGCAGCAGGUUCCUUGAGCUUCAACAUUGACGGAUUUAAUCCAAAUUAUCCGCAAAUUAUUACAGAGGGAGACGCAAGCGUGGUGGUCGAUACGGUGCAACUCACCUUGAACUUGCGGGACAAGGGAAAGGAAGGGAG